AUGAGUUUUGCUGUUGACACGCAGUUAUUGCUUUCAUGCCCAUUGCAUUGUGUCGCUGCUCCUCCCCAGGUUGCGCACCACCUUGACCAUGGCCAGAACCAGCUGCUUACCCUCACUGCCGUCAUGUUGUUUGGCUCAUUUUGCGGCCUCCUGCCCAGCUUGAUCAAGACAGCUGUGCACAUCCUUUAUAUUGCCGCGGCGAUCAUCAUCGCUGAGGCUGUGCACAUCCUUUAUAUUGCCGCGGCGAUCAUCAUCGCUGAGGCUGUGCACACUCACAUUCUUGGACCGAUGAUGUAUGGUGUUGCUGAUCAAGAUUCAGGCAAGCACCUUUCCUUCCCAUCGUGCUGCUGCUACCCAGCUCAGGCACUGUCAUGGCUACAACAGUUUGCAGUUUGCUUAGGUCAGGGAACAUCUUCUGGACCUUCUCAUAUGUCGUCUACAUAUUUCAGCUUUAUUGAGCUUAAACGCUUUUACAGGUACAUUUGUUUUGAUCCACAAGCUCACCGGGUGUCCCAUUGGCUGGGUUUGGAUCUAUGGGCCAGGAGGGCAAAGUCCACCUUGAAACGCUCGGCCCAUGUUCUGAAGGAAGGAGGGAUGCUUUUGAAUAUUAGAUUAUUUCUCUCCUUCCAGAUACUGUAA
This 639-nucleotide ribosomal RNA is filed under the name Triticum aestivum (bread wheat). RNAcentral describes it as "partial small subunit ribosomal RNA". The record is from RNAcentral. Lineage: Eukaryota; Viridiplantae; Streptophyta; Magnoliopsida; Poales; Poaceae.